CGAAGCAGUGACACAGAAGGAUAGGACGAGCGCGGUGAUGGUCAACCGCGUAGGCGGCACAAGGCUGGGGAGCAGUAAAGUACACUUCCCGGGAAGGCUGAGUGCUGACAGGACCGAAAAAGAGUAGGGAAGCGUCUGAGUUCACGCUGGCGAGAAAAGCUGCUAAGGAGAGUGUGAGUGCCCGUACCGGAAACCGACGCAUGUGGGCGAGGAGAGAAUCCUGAGACGGACGGGGGAACUCUAGUUAAGGAACUCGGCAAAAUGACCCCGUAACUUCGGGAGAAGGGGUGCCUCGAAAGAGGCCGCAGAGAAUAGUCACAAGCGACUGUUUAGCAAAAACACAGGUAUCUGCGAAAGCGAGAGCUGACGUAUAGGUGCUGACGCCUGCCCGGUGCUGGAAGGUUAAGGGGAAGUGUUAGGGGAAACCCGAAGCAGAGAACCGAAGCCCCAGUAAACGGCGGCCGUAACGAUAACGGUCCUAAGGUAGCGAAAUUCCUUGUCGGGUAAGUUCCGACCCGCACGAAUGGCGUAACGACUUGUGAGCUGUCUCAACAGGAAGCCCGGUGAAAUUGAAGUAUGUGUGAAGAUGCACAUUACCCGCGACUGGACGGAAAGACCCCGUAGAGCUUUACUGUAACCUGACAUUGGAUCUUGAUAACGGAUGCACAGGGUAGGUGGGACGCUGGGAGGUAUGGACUUUGGUCUGUACGGAGCGGACGUUGGGAUACCACUCUUCUGUUAUUGAGAUUCUAACCUCAAGCCGUAAGCCGGAUGAGAGACAGUGUCAGGCGGACAGUUUGACUGGGGCGGUCGCCUCCGAAAGAGUAACGGAGGCGCCCAAAGGUACCCUCAGAAUGGAUGGAAACCAUUCGAAGAGAGCAAAGUCAGAAGGGUGCUUGACUGCGAGACCAGCAAGUCGAGCAGGUACGAAAGUAGGGCUUAGUGAUCCGGCGGUAAGAGAGUGGAAUUGCCGUCGCUCAACGGAUAAAAGCUACCUCGGGGAUAACAGGCUGAUCUCCCCCAAGAGUUCACAUCGACGGGGAGGUUUGGCACCUCGAUGUCGGCUCGUCGCAUCCUGGGGCUGAAGCAGGUCCCAAGGGUUUGGCUGUUCGCCAAUUAAAGCGGCACGCGAGCUGGGUUCAGAACGUCGUGAGACAGUUCGGUCCCUAUCCAUCGUGGGCGAAGGACACAUGAGAGGAGCUGCUCCUAGUACGAGAGGACCGGAGUGGACGCAUCACUGGUGCAACUGUUGUCGUGCCAACGGCACAGCAGGGAAGCGAAAUGCGGAUGGGAUAAACGCUGAAGGCAUCUAAGCGUGAAGCCCACCUCAAGAAUAAGUGUCCCAUUCGAAAGAAGUAAGACCCCUGGAAGACUACCAGGUGAUAGGUCAUCGGUGAAAGAGCGGUAACGUUUGGAGCUUGAUGAUACUAAUCGGUCGAGGACUUGACC
RNAcentral lists this ribosomal RNA (1449 nucleotides) under metagenome. Its description in RNAcentral is "bacterial LSU rRNA". It matches the Rfam family "Bacterial large subunit ribosomal RNA", at positions 1462 to 2925 of the family's 2925-position model. The record is from RNAcentral.